RNAcentral lists this ribosomal RNA (864 nucleotides) under Triticum aestivum (bread wheat). RNAcentral describes it as "partial small subunit ribosomal RNA". The record is from RNAcentral. Lineage: Eukaryota; Viridiplantae; Streptophyta; Magnoliopsida; Poales; Poaceae.
AUGCAUGGUUACAACAAGCUGGUCGUCUGGCUGCUGCUCCUAAGCAGCUCGUCAUCAUACUUUGGCCAUGGAAUCAGUGCUUCUGAUGUCCAAUGCUUGAAGGACCUCAAACAAUCGUUGAUUGAUCCUAAUGAUAUACUAGGGAAAAAAUCCCACCGGUGGAAUUUUACUGACAUCCGCGAUGACGGUGACAUAUGCGGGUUCACCGGCGUGGAAUGCUGGAACCCUAAUGAAAACAGGGUUCUCAGUUUGCGCCUCGGCAACUUAGGACUCGAAGGUCCAUUUCCUCGAGGCCUCGAGCUUUGCACCUCCAUGACCACUCUGGACCUGUCAGGCAACAACUUUUCAGGGCCGCUCCCAGAACACAUCUCUGAGCAGAUGCCCUAUGUAAGCUUUCUAGACCUCUCGAACAACAGCUUCUCAGGUGGAAUCCCUGCAAGCAUCAUGAACAUGACGUACCUCAACAUCCUCGCUCUUCAACACAACCAGUUCACCGGCGAAAUUCCGGCGAUCAACCUUUCACGCCUCAUUUCGUUCAACGUCGCCAAGAACUCGUUGUUCGGUCCCGUCCCGGACUCUCUGCAGAGCUUCCCGACCGCCAACUUCAUGGGCAACCCGGGGCUCUGCGGGGCGCCGCUGGACAAUAAGUGCAAGAAGAGGUUCAGGGUGCGGAUACACGUUCGGCUUGUCCGGAUUCGGGAGAUGUUUGUCCGGAUUCAGAAGCUACUGCACAGGAUCAACGACGCGUCCAUCAUCGGGGCGUCGGCUGGGUUCAUCUUUGGGUUCGUGGUGGCCUUCUACUUCCCGCACAAGUUCUUGUUCUGUGGGAGGUUCCAGCCCUACACCUUUCGUGUUUGUGGGUGA